Long non-coding RNA from Meriones unguiculatus (Mongolian gerbil), 4671 nucleotides. RefSeq lists it as uncharacterized. The transcript is spliced from 3 exons. NCBI's taxonomy places the organism in Eukaryota, Metazoa, Chordata, Mammalia, Rodentia, Muridae. The record is from RefSeq and is a predicted model, not a curated record.
UAGUGCGAGAUUGGGCUGGAGAGGCCAAGUGAAGAGGAAGGGUGCGGAGUUGACUAGAAGAGCCAAAGAGUAAGGCGGCUGGGGGAGGGGAGAGGAGCACAGAGAGCUCACGCUAAAAAAAGUAAAGGAAAAGGGGAGAGUAACACAGGGCUGGGCGGAAGAGUCCAUUGAGGAAGGAAGGGGAACGCGAGCGCAAACUGAGCAGACGAGAUCUAGGGAAGCACAAUUCGGAUGAAGGAAGCGCACCUGCCACAGGACUGGGUGUCAGCAUGGCCAAAGAGCUAUCAAGAUGGUGAUUAUGGGUGGAUACUGGGAAAAGAGAAAGCCAGGCCCGGACAGAACUGAACCUGUCAUGAGGUGCUAAGACACAGAAGGGACGGGUUCUGGAAGCCCGGACAAGGCCAGACAUCUCCGAUACCUUCUGAAGGGUCGUGGAUCAGACUGACUUCUGGGCUCAGAUCCAACUUAAACACUUGCUACAAGUCAUCUGAGGUGGUGGCCCACGUCUUUAGCAUCAACACUUUGGAGGUGUUUACCCAGAGAAUCGGGAGUUCAAGAUCAGCCUUGGCUGCAUAACUAUGCCCUGAUGACCGGGAUGCUCAACUCAUAAUGAUCUCUCUGAGGACCUGCUGGACCACACAGCUCUCUACCUCAGAGUCAUCUAUCCCAUCCGUCUCUGCCCACACAUCCAGAAUCAGGCAGAAGUACCUGGCUGUCAUGUUCUAAGUCUACACGGAUAUUUGAAACAUUUUCCUUGGACUUGGCAAUAUGUAUCAGCUUUAAAGGUAUCUUAUUGAUAGAUAGGUGCAUAGUGUGAUAAUUUAAAGCAGUGGGUCUCAAAUACUUUUGGGGGUCAAAUGACCUUUUUAUCGAGAUUGCAUGUCAGAUAUCCUGCACAUCAGAUAUUUGCAUUACAAUUCAUAACAGUAGCAAAAUUACAGUUAUAAAGUAGCAAUGAGAAUUUUAUGGUUGGGGGUCACCACAGAGUUCUUGGCAGUGAUACCUGUUUUUAAGACUAUAAAUCUGCAUUCUCCCUUUUUCCCACAAGUAAGCAAUUUGGUACCAAAGGACUCACAUACUUAGUAGAAAGUUAAAAGAGCAACUAAGAGAAUUGUUGUCCCCAACCAAACCUUUAUGAUAUUCUGGGAGAGCUGCCUGGUACAGAGGAGCUGACAACUUCCUUCUCUCAUCACAUGUAUUUCUGAGCCAUUUUCUUAAUGUCAAGAGAAGGGUGUCAUGGGAAGUAUGAGAAGACAAAAUCCAGAACAGGUGGGUCUAUUCUCCCAUCCUGCACAGUCGCUUUGUCAACAGAGAAUCCUACCAGGUAAAAGGAUAUUAUGAUCCCUGAGAAUACUGAGGAUUGUAAAGAACAGUGGCAGCUCUGCAAGCUGACCCCUUUUCUCACCCCAUCCAUGAACUACCGUAGGUCAGCAACCUCAUGCUCUGCAGCCACUUGAAGGAGGUGUAUUAAUUGUCAUGUUCCAAAGCCUCAGAAAAAUCAGUGGGAAUGAGGGAUUCCAGAAGGAAAAAUCACUUUACACACAAGAGCACUGUAAGUCUGUGUGUGGUGAAUGAUGCCCUGCAGAGGGUGAGCUGGGACCUUACGGAUCUGAGACUGGACCUCACAUAAAGCCCUUAGCAUCACUUCCCCAAAUCUGUGACUGUUGGUAUAAUGUUCUUUUGGAAUGUAUACAACUUACCUUAUUCACUCAAAUACUGAUUUCUCUCCCCCACUGUCUGGUUUCAAUCUGGACAUUGCUUUGUGAUACUUAUUCUAAGCAUCACCUGUCUCAAGUUUGUGUAAACAUGCCACCAUUUGUUCUCUCAAUUGUCAAUUAAAACAACCAGCCACAAUGUUAAGCAAUGGAGAGGAUAGGAUGGGACAUCCUGGUUCAGAGUGGAAGGAGAGGAAGGAGUAGGAGGGAGAGAGGAGGAGAUAAAGGAGAGGAAGGAGUAGGAAGGAGAAGAGGAGGAGAAGCUGGGAGAGUAGAAGCUGGAGGAGAGGUCUUGGAACUACAUGGAGAAAUGAACCAAACCUAAGAUAUCUCUAAAAGCAAGUAUAAUGGGUGAAUCUGAAUGGUAGGAAACUAAGCUGGCUUGGAGGUUUAGGAUGGGGUAACUAUUGCCCAGCAUUGUGUCCUAGGUUAACUAAAUAAAUCCUAGUCUCGGGCUGGAGAGAUGGUUCAACUAUUAAAGGCUAGGCUCACAACCAAAAUAAAUCCUAGUCUCUGUGUGGUUAUUUGGUUAUGCAGCUGUUUAGGAUUAACCUAAAAGAUAUAUCAAUAGUAAAUAGUAAUGAAUAAAUACAACAAAUAGUGCCCAACAUGGGGCACGAACCCAUGACCCUGAGAUUAAGAGUCUCGUGCUCUACCGACUGAGCCAUUAUUUUAAUUGGCAUAGAUAAAAUUGGUUUACAGUUUAGUUUCAUCCUGAACAUCUCAUAUAUUUAUAAUUUUAGAACUGUAUAAUGCUUGUGAGAAAUUAUAUGUUUGCAGGAAAAAAAAAAAAAAAAAGACCAGACACUGGAGAUGCUGGAUCAAACCUGACAGGAUUCAUUCUUCAGCAUGCUGAGACAUUGACAUAGCUGUUCCAGCAUCUUGCAUGUUCCAACAUUCUGAUUGUUCCUGCCUCAACUGCUUCAAUUGUUGUUUCUCAUCAAAGCCUGCUCCCAAGAAAGCUACCAAUCUUAAUUGGUCCAGCAUUUUAGACUGUUCCAAACAGGACUUUUAUUAAGCCUGAAAUUUCUCAACAUUCAAAGACCACAAAUGUUAUUGCUUGCUUAAUUAACCAAUUUUUCCCAAUUUUCUUUGGGCCCCCUAACAUUCUGCAUGUCCAAAAUGUCAGAAGAAACCCAUGAGAACGACAUCCAAUUUUCCUUAAAGGGGGUUGGAUAUGUUUUUGGUUGCUUUCUAUGGCUACAAAUUUUUAUUGUCAUUGGGAGAUGUUUAUAAAUUAUUAAUGGUCUUAAUUCAGAGUGAAACAAGGUUAUACUCAGGGAUUUCUCUCUUCCUUUUUCUUUUUUCUAUCUUUCUUCUUAGAUAAGGAGAAAAGGAGUUAAAAAGAAAGAAAGGAGUGUAUAGAGAUAUCUUAUAGCAAUAAGGCAAGAGGUAGAUUAUUGAAUCUACUCAACUUAGGGUUUUAUUUAUUAUUCUCAAAUAAGGUUAAUUUUUAACUCUAGUAUACGAGUUUGCAAGAAUAAGUCUAUUUUUGAUACAUUGGUAUAAGCUUUAGUAUACUGAUACAAAUUCAAGGUUACUUCCAGUACUUUUAAACUGCUAUUAAAAACUGGUUAGUGUAUUAGGUAAUGCAGUUAAUUGCUAGUUAAUCAACUCAUAGCCAUGUCAGACACUAGUCUAAUUUAUCACAAGAGGAUACAUCCUAGGUUUAACAGAUAGAUAUGAUUUUGUGGACAGACCAAUUAUAUAAGGAUAGGUAGUCUUCAAAAACUUCAGAGACCUACAGAAUAUGGCAUUUAAAAAUGUCUUUAUUAUUUUAAAGAUUCUUUGACAAUGAGACAGGUCAUCUCCUGGCAGCACCCCUCCUACCUCAAAGAAGAUGAUGAGCAUCGAAGAACCUCCAUAUGGAGAUGGCUUCAAAUGUGGCAAACGAGCCACUUGGGUAAACAAAAUACCCUCGCUUCACGACAGACAAAUUCUGCCAAAAAUGGGCAAGCUUAAAUGCAGGACAAGUUGACUGCUGAACUCUGCCAAGACAGGGUAAGCAUGUCCUAAAUAGUUCCUGCUUCAUAUAUAUCUGCCAAAUGUUCUGAGCCAGAAGGCUUAAGAUGAUGCUCCAACGUUAUAGAAAUUAACAGUGACAGUUUGCUGCCUGAACUGUCUAUUUUUUUAUUUUUUUUGGAAGCUGCUGACAUGUACUUCUAUUUACUCUAAUAACUAAUUUUAUUCCUUCUCAAGUCUCUGAUGGGGUUGAAGACUAAAUAGUUAUAGUGCCACAAUUAAGCUUAAGUUGUUUAAAAGUUAAGAAAUGCUUUCAUAUACCAAUGAGGAUAAAAGUUAAUUUAGGUAUAGAACUUUAAACUUGUCAAGAUAGAUAGGAUAAUCAGAUACUUUCUCCUAAGUUGCUAAAUACACAGGGACUGGAUGCACAUGUAGAUUUUACCUAACAGUUUUCAUAAUUUCAUAAUUAUUAUUGUAUUGAAAGAAAAGGAGCCUUUUAUUGGACUUAAAGGGGGAAAUGUUGGUAUAAUGUUUUUUGGAAUAUAUGCACCUUACUGUUGUUCAUUCAAAUGCUGAUUUCUCUCCCCCACUGUCUGGUUUCAAUAUAGACAUUGCAUUGUGAUACUUAUUCUAAGCAUCACCUGUCUCAAGUUUGUGUAAACAUGCCACCAUUUGUUCUCUCAAUUGUCAAUUAAAACAACCAGCCACAAUGCUGAGCAAUGGAGAGGAUAGGAUGGGGCACCCUGGUUGAGAGUGGGAGGAGAGGAAGGAAGCAGGAGGAGAGGAAGGAGUAGGAAGGAGAGGAGGAGGGGAAGCUGGGAGAGCAGUAGCUGGAGGAGAGGUCUUGGAAUUACAUGGAGAAAUGAACCAGACCUAAGAUAUCACUAAAAGCAAGUAUAAUGGGUGAAUCUGAAUGGUAGGAAACUAAGCUGGCUUGGAGGUUUAGGAUAGGGUAACUAUUGCCCAGCAUUGUGUUCUAGGUUAACUAAAUAAA